GGCAUCAUUAGUCUCUUCAGAUAUCAAUGAAGUAUCAACUCUAAGGCAACAGAUUGGUAAGCAAAAAUAUAUCAAAUGUUUUUAUCUCCCCAAAGCUUGGUAGGCUGUUACAAUUAAGGAUGCUACUUUAAUUGUGGUUGCAUCCCUUUCUCAACUUAAAAAUAAAAUUUUGAAACACAAACAUUGUAAAACAACGCCGCUGUGCUAAGAAACAAGUUAAGUGCAGUACUACCAGGUACAUUUGACCUUAUAACUAUACCACUAUACAUAAUAACCAUGUAAAGUAAUUGUUUUUAACAAUAAAUAAAAUAAUGUACAUACCAAUAUAUAAAAUUAUAUAUUUACCAAUGUUUAUCUUAUGAUUAAUAUUCUAAAUCUCAUUCAAGAUAUAUUUAAGGAAUUAUAUGAAAUUUUCAAGUUUUUUAUUUUUAAGUUCUUCUGCAAA
Molecule: long non-coding RNA, 445 nt
Organism: Hydra vulgaris (swiftwater hydra)
Lineage: Eukaryota; Metazoa; Cnidaria; Hydrozoa; Anthoathecata; Hydridae
Source: RefSeq, a predicted model, not a curated record